RNA transcript from Labeo rohita (rohu), 2099 nucleotides. It is a transcript of the gene named C-C chemokine receptor type 1-like, with no coding region annotated. The transcript is spliced from 3 exons. Lineage: Eukaryota; Metazoa; Chordata; Actinopteri; Cypriniformes; Cyprinidae. The record is from RefSeq and is a predicted model, not a curated record.
GAUAUGAAAGUGGUGAUCUCUGAAGAAGUUGCCUUACCACGACACUAGUUUGUCUGUGCUAUGCAGAACCACAGCGACUCCAGUUUAAACUCCACCACCUUGGAUCCAAUUAACCUGGUCACCAGUGGCCUGAUGGGUCUCUGCUUCAUGGUUGGAGUUCCUGGUAAUAUUGCAGUUAUUAUUUUCAUAGUCCGGCAUUUCAAAAAGGACAAUUUCACCGUUCAUCUGAUGCUGAAUCUGGCAGCUGCGGACAUCUUGUGUUUGAUAACCCUGCCUGUAUGGAUCUACAGUCAACUACAGAGCAUUGACCAAGCAACCUGUACGUUUUUCAAAAUACUCGUCUACUGGAGCAUGUACUCAAGUGUGAUAACAGUAACUAUGCUGAGCGUGUAUCGUUGUUUACGGAUUCGACAUCCACAGUUGUGGUCAAGGAUAAGCAAGAGAAGAGAGAACGCGCUGCUGAUCAUUGGCUGGGCUCUGGCACUGCUCUUCUCUUUUCCUGGUGUACUAACACAAGAGAUGCUUUCAGGUAAAUCCAAAAUGGAGUGUGAAAGAAACCUGAAUUCAAACAUAAAACUAAUUGUUGCUCUACUGGAGUCGCUGCUUGGAAUUUUUAUUCCUUUCACAGUCAUGUUGACUUCAUAUUAUUGCUUAUACAAAACGGCCACACAGGGAACGUUGAGGCACAGACACAGAUCGACCAAACUGGUCACACGGAUUGUCAUAGUUUUCUUCAUUUUUUGGGCUCCACGCCAAAUAAUAAAAUUAGAGGAAAUUUGUGCUAAAUUUUUAGGAUCAGAGCCAGCUCUAGCUGUCGUCAGUGACGUUGCUGGAAGUUUUACAUUCAUCAACAGUUGUGUGAAUCCAUUCCUCUAUGCUUUUUCCUCAAAGAGUUUACGUAAACGCAAACAGCCAGUGGAGCCUGGGAUAACUAAAGGCUCACAACAUUCACAGAGGGACCAUUCCAUACCUUUGAGCAGCUCACUAGUAAAGCCUAACACCUUGGACUAAGUUCACUAUAUGGAGGAAAAUCCUGGAAUGUUUUCCACCAAAAACUACAUUUCUCUUCGACUGAAGAAAGAAAGACGUGAACAUCUUGGAUGACAUGGAGGUGACCCUCGUGUGGACAAAGAAGAGACAAAGUGAAGACAGACCGGUCAGACCACACACACAGUGACUUUAAGGGGCCUGUUAAAUUUUAUGAGGGUUUUAAAAGAGUUUUAUUGCUUUUCUCAAGUGGUUAGCUUGAUUUAUAAUAUGGCCAUGCUGAAGUGUACAUUCAUUUGGAUAGGUACUGUACCACUGGGUGUAAUGGUGCAUUGAUUAAUAACACAUCAGAAAGAAAAUGCAUUCAGAAUAAAGGUAGUGCAUUACAUUCUGCAAAAGUGCCAAUCUUCUUAUAGAUUGAGCCAUUUUAAUAAAUGGACUGCCCAAAUCAGCAAAAACAAGCCACCCACAUAUGCAUUUGAUAAGAUUUUGGCUUAAUAUCUUUUAAUUUAGCUUUGUUCAGCCGUUAAAUGCCAGUGUGAAAUCUUGUUUCCAUCCAUUCAUAGCUUCUAUUUAGCCUCAGGGGCAGAUACAGAUUCUUCAGUCUCUCAGUCUGAUCUCUGUGUUCAAUAUAUUGUGAGUUUGGACUCAUUCCUCAGGAGAACCGCUGAAACCUCUGAUCGCUCUGACAUACACUAAGCGGAGGCUGAUGGCAGUGGUCGGCGUGAUAAAUAAGGAUCUUGGUCUAAACACCCACUCACUCGGAUAAACACGAUUUCUGCCGAGCUUUUCCUCUGGGUUGUACCCUAAUAGCUAUUUAUGCGACACAAGCAUCUUUUAUGUUUCUGUCAAAGGUUUGGUGUUUUCAAUGCAGCUGACAGAGAAAAGGGUAGAAAUUUGAAUUAAAAUAUGGAUAGUUUAUUUUUCAACAUAUAUUUUUUAUCUUCAGUAAUAAUGGACUGAAAAUACUGGUUAAGAACAUGGUGAAAACAUUCAAACAAUUCAAACACACACAAAGGCAAGUGACACAUGAUACAUUAACUAGUAGCCAUAAGCUCUGAAGUAAACUGACAAUAGCUUCAAAAUGAAAAACUACAUAAACUUAAGAUAAA